Molecule: ribosomal RNA, 253 nt
Filed under: uncultured bacterium
Lineage: Bacteria
Description: partial 16S ribosomal RNA
Rfam family: Bacterial small subunit ribosomal RNA
Source: RNAcentral
UACGUAGGGAGCAAGCGUUGUCCGGAAUCAUUGGGCGUAAAGCGCGCGUAGGUGGCUUUAUAAGUCCGUUGUGAAAGUCAAAGGCUCAACCUUUGAAAGCCGAUGGAUACUGUGAAGCUAGAGUACGGAAGAGGCGAGUGGAAUUCCUGGUGUAGCGGUGGAAUGCGCAGAUAUCAGGAGGAACACCAAUAGCGAAGGCAGCUCGCUGGGACGUUACUGACACUGAGGAGCGAAAGCGUGGGGAGCGAACAGG